This 403-nucleotide ribosomal RNA is filed under the name uncultured bacterium. RNAcentral's name for it is "partial 16S ribosomal RNA". It matches the Rfam family "Bacterial small subunit ribosomal RNA", at positions 28 to 526 of the family's 1533-position model. The record is from RNAcentral.
GACGAACGCUGGCGGCGUGCCUAAUACAUGCAAGUCGAACGCAGUGGGGACGGGUGAGUAACACGUGGGUAACCUCACAUACGAGGGGGUAACACUUGGAAACAGGUGCUAAACCGAUACUGAUGGAUGGACCCGCGGUGCAUUAGAUAGUUGUUGAGGUAACGGCGCACCAAGGCCACGAUCCAUAGCCGACCUGGGAGGGGGAUCGGCCACACUGGGACUGAGACACGGCCCAGACUCCUACGGGAGGCAGCAGUAGGGAAUCUUCGGCAAUGGACGAAAGUCUGACCGAGCAACGCCGCGUGAGUGAAGAAGGUUUUCGGAUCGUAAAACUCUGUUGUUAGAGAAGCGGUAUCUAACCAGAAAGCCACGGCUAACUCCGUGCCAGCAGCCGCGGUAAUUC